UAGUGAACCAAGAGCUGGAGAGG
Molecule: unclassified non-coding RNA, 23 nt
Filed under: Mus musculus (house mouse)
Lineage: Eukaryota; Metazoa; Chordata; Mammalia; Rodentia; Muridae
Description: oocyte_clustered_small_RNA9164
Source: RNAcentral